UUUUGUAUAAAUUACAUUUGCCAUGCAAAACGAAGCUAAAAACUAAGAAAGCAACGCGUCAAGCUUCACAAAACACAAAAAAAAUUAAAACAAAUAAAGAAAUGAUAGUCAAAAGCGAGUGCAAUCUAAUACUGCUAUGGACAUGAUGAAAGCAGGCCAAGGCUUCUCUAGCUGCUAACUGCAAACGGACAGCAAAAGGCAAUGUGAAAAACGUUGGAAACAGAUGUGAAAAGGUCUAUCAUCAGUCAAAAUACAUUUUACUACACACGAGUAGUUAAAAAAGUUUCACAAAUAACACACUGAAAUAUAGUAACAUUAAUUAGAAUUGCCAAAGAAGUGGAAUGCACAGCAAGAGUUUUGCAACGUUUGAAGAUAAACAUAAAGUUUGCUUUAAGUGCAUCCAAUUUCAUCUUC
Molecule: long non-coding RNA, 414 nt
Organism: Drosophila nasuta
Lineage: Eukaryota; Metazoa; Arthropoda; Insecta; Diptera; Drosophilidae
Exons: 2
Source: RefSeq, a predicted model, not a curated record